This is a long non-coding RNA of Arachis duranensis, 1729 nucleotides long. RefSeq lists it as uncharacterized. The transcript is spliced from 6 exons. The record is from RefSeq and is a predicted model, not a curated record. Lineage: Eukaryota; Viridiplantae; Streptophyta; Magnoliopsida; Fabales; Fabaceae.
CGUUACUACUGCCUUAGUCAACUUCCUUCUGUCAAUUCAAAGCCUUCAUGCUUUGCUCAUUUAUCUCUGCUAUGCUCCUUAUCCAUCAAGCACUCUCAGGAAUCGUCUUCUGACCUUGCUGUUCUUCUCAAAGUUGACGGGGUUCUUAUGGAUGCAUACCGAGUGGGUAAUAGAUUAGCAUUCAAUAAAGUAUGAUAAGGAAGCUUUAUUAAGAUCAGAUCUUGCUCUCAAGUCAAACAAGGCAUAACCUGAGUUUUUCUACAAACAGCUAACAGCUAGUGAUACGAGCACACAUGGAGGUUUCUCUGUGCCUCUUGAAAGCAUAAUUAUUAUUUCAGGCAGUUGAAUAAAAUUUUCAGGUUUUGAUCUUUUCUAUGUUUUCAUGUAGGAUUAUUCUAUACAACCUCCUACACAAGAACUUGUGGCUAGGGAUUUGCAUGAUAAUGUUUGGAUAAUGUGCAGUCCUAUAUAUAAUCUAAAAUAGAAAAGCUAUUAGAAACUUGUUGAAGAUCUUUUUAUUUAUUCAUUAUGGUCAUCACCUUAACUAGGGCAACCAAAGCACCACUUGCUUACAAUUGGAUGGAGUCUAUUUGUUAGUGGAAAGAGGCUCUUUGCUGAAGACUCUACUUUAUUUUUACGGUGAUGACAUGAAAAGCAGCAGCUUCUUUUGAGCAUCAAGCGAGCUAACAGGCAACCAGCCAACAUAUCAUCCUCGAUAUUGUCAAGUUAUAGUAUGCAAAUUGGGAUUCUUGCGGCAGUUGCUCAUGCUACUGCAAAUAAUAGUCCCUUUACCAUAUUUUACAAUCCUAGGGCUAGUCCUUCAGAGUUUGUUAUUCUUUUAGCCAAGUACUACAAGGUAGUGUUUCUAUUCUCCUUUUCAGAGUUUGUGAGAUGGAAAAAUUCACAAUGGCAUAAUUUGCAGGUAUAAUUUCUAUUCUCCUUUUCUAAUUCAACAUUCUAAACUUUUUCAAUCUAUCAAUUGAUGGACCUGCACAAGUUGUAAAUAGUGUUUACCGGCUCACAUAUGAUUGGUCAGGUUAGUUGGGAUGAGUCUACUACUGGGGAUUGGAUUUUUUAACUGAGGGAGCUAAUUCCUUAGAAAAUAGUGUUAGCAUUUAAUUGGCCACUCAAACAUGGUAACCGUGUUAGAAUUCUUUGAUAUAAAGUGUGUUCAUUAUAAGGUGUAAUUAAUAGUGUAACUAAGGAGUGGAAAAAUUGGAUGAUUUUAUAGAAACAGGAAAAGUGAAAUAAAGAGGGAAGGAAUGAGGAAGAGAGUGAGUCACAUGGGGUGGGGUAACAAUAAAGACUUGAAUGAAAAUUUGUACAAAAUUUUACCUUUUUUAAGCUUUUUAUUUAUUAUGUGCUUGACAGUUUUAUAUUUAAUUAUUCUAUAUUCAUUUGGAUAUGAUAAAUAUGCAUCUUAUCUAAAAAUUUGCACAAAAUAAUGCAAAUAGUUCCUAUUUAUUUUGUUCUUCAUACUUUCAAAAACUAAUUGAAUGAAGAAUUUUCUGCUGGAUCUUUAUUUCAAUGUGAACUUGAGUUUCAAUUUCUAGCACUUCUCUUGGCCAUCCUUUCCCCGUAUGAGGCCAUGAGAUUUAGGGACACAAAAGAAGGUGCUAUCAUUUCAUUAUUGAUUGUAGUGUAUUUGGCUUACCAGCAUUUCUCAAGAACAAGUUUAUAGAAAUCACUUGAUCAAGGUUCAAUUGUUGCCACCAUAGCUAUUGUUUGU